RNAcentral lists this ribosomal RNA (661 nucleotides) under uncultured archaeon. RNAcentral's name for it is "bacterial SSU rRNA". The stretch from base 99 to 661 matches the Rfam family "Archaeal small subunit ribosomal RNA", at positions 1 to 1025 of the family's 1478-position model. The record is from RNAcentral.
UCCCUCCCCCCAGUGUGUCUGCAGAUUUAUUUUGUGGAGAUGUUGAGACCUUGUUGCGUGAACCGCGCUGUCCUGAUUUAGUACUCAUCGCAGUUGUUCGUCAAGAUCGAUGCAGUCGCGAGUACACGCGUUGAGUGGUACCAGUUUAUGAGUUAAAUCGUUCGUAGCAGAUUUUAAUCUUUGGGAAUCUCACGUUUCACUGUGAGUAUAUAAGAGAUACUGGAAUCUAGGGAUUCGGCAGAAGUAAGAGGUAUCUCAGGGGUAGAAGUGAAAUUCCGUAAUCCUUGAGGGACCACCGAUGGCGAAGGCAUCUUACCAGAACGGCUUCGACAGUGAGGAACGACAGCUGGGGGAGCGAACGGGAUUAGAUACCCCGGUAGUGGCAGCCGUCAACUAUGCGCGUUAGAUGUGCAGUGUAACUACGAGUUACCGGGGUAAGUAGUUGGAUGGAAAGAAACGUGCCGCCUGGGAAGUACGGUCGCAAGGCUGAAACUUAAAGGAAUUGGCGGGGGAGCAAAACAACGGGUGGAGCCUGCGGUUUAAUUGGACUCAACGCCGGGCAGCUCACCGGAUAGGACAGCGGAAUGAUAGCCGGGCUGAAGACCUUCCUUGACCAGCUGAGAGGAGGUGCGUAACCGAGUCAGUUCGUACUCGAAGCACC